RNAcentral lists this ribosomal RNA (253 nucleotides) under uncultured bacterium. Its description in RNAcentral is "partial 16S ribosomal RNA". It matches the Rfam family "Bacterial small subunit ribosomal RNA", at positions 524 to 776 of the family's 1533-position model. The record is from RNAcentral.
UACGGAGGGUGCGAGCGUUGUCCGGAAUCACUGGGCGUAAAGGGCGCGUAGGCGGCUACUUAAGCGUGUGGUGAAAGUCCGGGGCUCAACCCCGGAUCGGCCGUGCGAACUGAGUGGCUCGAGCACUGUAGAGGCAGGUGGAAUUCCGGGUGUAGCGGUGGAAUGCGUAGAGAUCCGGAAGAACACCGGUGGCGAAGGCGGCCUGCUGGGCAGUGGCUGACGCUGAGGCGCGAAAGCUAGGGGAGCAAACGGG